UCUGCUCCUUGAUUCCAGUAUGAGAUACUGU
Molecule: non-coding RNA, 31 nt
Filed under: Rattus norvegicus (Norway rat)
Lineage: Eukaryota; Metazoa; Chordata; Mammalia; Rodentia; Muridae
Source: RNAcentral